ACAGGGUUUUUCUGUAUAGCCCUGGCUGUCCUGGAACAUGGUCUGUAGACUAGGCUGACCUCGUGGUUCAGCAUUUAAGUGAAGAGAUUGGCUAAGAAAACACAAUAGGUUUUCUGAAAAACACCAUGAGACCUUUGUACCUCAUGGUUGGUGAUUGCAGAGCUGAAAUCUUGCUGCUUUCUGGUCUUCUAGGUCCCAGCCCAUUUCAGAAUCUAAAGUUACAGAAUUCACCAGGACUGGUGAGCACACCUGCUAUCUGGUAUUUCGGAGACAGUGGCAGGAAGAUCAGGCUUUUGAGACCAGACUCAGCUACAUAGAGUUCAAGGCCAGCCUGGACUAUGUGAGACCCUGAUUUGUUUUGUGUUUUUAAGUCACAGAAUCUCUCCCAAAAAAACCCUAGAAGCCAUUUUGUACAUACCUUUAAGGUUCAUAGUGCCUCUAAAUCCAAAACCAAACCAUAGCUCUUCCAGGCUGUAACCCUCUUUACCUGAAAACUUUUCUUGGGUCAAGGGUUGAUGAGCCAUGUCUAGACAAAAAGGACCUCUCAUGGGCUGCAGACUCUGGGAAGGGAGAUGAGAACAUGGCCUCUACCCUCUUGUCUAUCAGCCUGUAGAAAGCCAUCGUCUCCACCCACUGAGAGCAAGAGCUCAUCUAGUGACCAAGGUACUUUCCUGCCAAACAGUACUUGUUGCAUCCCUAGGAGCCCUUCUCUAGCUGAGGAGCAGGGAUCCUCACUGUGCUGAAGGUCUGACGGGAACGUGGUCUUAGGCUACAAAGGGCACUGGGGGACUUAGACAACUCCGCAGACAAGAAAGACAGUCUCUAAUCUUUGCAGUACAACUUAUCAUUUGUGGUCUCUCUUUCAUCUGAGAUCUUUUCUGCACAUGGUUGCUUUUCGUGCCGUCGGACUCUCUCGUUAUGGCCACCCGAACAAAAAGGCAGAUUGGAAGAACCAGCAAGCCAAGGGAGCGAUUUUAGAAGUUCAUAUUUGCAUGUUAUCUACAUGCACAUUAAAACCAACCCGUGUGUGUCUGUAUGGUUUCUUUGUAAGAAAAAAGUUAGUAUUUGAGUAAUUAAAUCUUUGGAACUCUCUUCCUGCGGGGUCUGCAAGUCUAUGGAAACCAGAAUUAAGCAAUGCAAAUGUCUGCUGGUGAAACCUCACUUAUCAAAAGCAGUAGAUUCUUUACAUUUUAUGAUUUUUUACUCUAGGAGCUUCAAUAAUUUGAUGAAAGUUGUGGCCCUCAUUGAAAAAAGAAAAGAAUGCACAUAAAAAAUCUACUCUCUUAGGGCUGAGCAGAUGGCUCAGCCAGAAAGUGUUUGUCUUGAAGCUCAAGGACUAGAAUUCUGAUCUCCAGAAAUGCUGAAUGGGUGUGGUGGCCCUCCUGUAAUUCUGGAACAUCAGAGGCAGAAACAGAUUCUCCAAAGCAAGCUACCCCAAACAUCGGGCCCAUGAGAGAGCUUCCACAGACGCACAUGCAAGUACAUGAAUGCCCGAGAGUGCGCGCGCGCACACACACACACACACACACACACACACACACACACACACACACACACAGAGCAUUCCACACAAAUGCAAAAAAGAAUACACCCUUUGAAACUGCAUAAGAUUUCAAAUUCAAUACUCAGGAGGUAAAGGUGGGUGGAUUUCUGAGUUUGAGGCCAGCUUGAUGUUUAGAGCAAGUUCUAGGACAGCUGGGGCCACAUAAAGAAACCCUGUCUUGAAAAACAAAAAACUAAAAAACCAAAGAUGACGAUGAUGAUGAUUUCUUGUUCUUGUUCUUGUUCUUGUUGUUGUGGUUUUUCGAGACAGGAUUUCUCUGUAUAUCCCUGGCUGUCCUGGAACUCACUCUUUAGACCAGGCUGGCCUUGAACUCAGAAAUCCGCCUGCCUCUGCCUCUGCCUCCCGAGUGCUGGGAUUAAAGGCGUGCACUACCACACCCAGCAAAUCCAAAGAUUUCAAAUUUUGGAUUCUAGUAAACUACCCCUCACUCCAAUAGUUAAAGGAACACUGAGGUUUUGUUCUGAUGAUAGAUGAGGUCUCCAUCCUGUUUAAAGACUCCUGUUUGGAAAUAUGGAAAUGCUUCUCAGUUACAGAAACAUUUUUAUCAAAAUUAUAAUUUACAGUUUUAUGUGUGUGGUAUAAAUUUGAGGACUCUCAACUUUUCAUCAUGUAAAAAUCAAUUUAGUCAAAUUCCUUGAAAUAAAGGAGUAAAAUUGAUCCAGGAUUUAUUUAUUAAAAGCCUACUAUGUGCCAGAUAAUACUCCAACGCUUCCUUGAUUUAGGACAUUUGAUUUUUCCUCUGGUACUUAAGGACAGCUAAGAAGCAGCUGAGUUGAAACUGCUUUUCAGGAUGACUGUCCCAGACUCCCAGACACCGGAAGCAACACAGCAAUGUCCUUUUCCUGAUUGACAUCUCCAAACAGGGUUCUUUAGUGUCAGCCAUGGCACUUAGUAGGUUUGCCACUUGAAAAAGGAACCCACUUUUAAAAUAAUUCUCUCAGUGACUUGUAAGCAGUACUUCAGGAGUGACAUACCACCCAAUUAAGACCUUGACCCUACCUAGAAAACAGUUGUUGGCUGAUCGGAUGUCUGCUAGGCCCACCUCACCUCUGAAAGAGGCACUUCCUCAAAAACUGCUCGUAAGUGUCUUCCUCAGAUUUAAAAGAGGGAAGGUGGGGGUGGGAUGACAGAGAGAAACCAGGCUGGCCUGGACCUUGCUAUGUAGACUAGCUUAGCUGAAUAUGUAGCGAUCCUCCUGCCUCGGUCUUAUCUACCAUCACACAUGGCCUCUAAUUUUUUCCUCACCACAGAUCCAGUUACCUUUCCAGGUUGAGCAGGCCGGGAAGGAGGGAGGGUCUGGGUUUGACUGCUGUUUUGAAAGUUGCCACCAUCAGGAAAUGUUUAAUGUGCUCAGAGAAGUGACUAAAGUGGGCCCCAACUGUCUGCAUACAAUUCCCUAGACACACUAUUAGGUCUCAGACUUAGAACAAACAGCUAACAAAUCAAGGCAGACGCUGGCCCCAGUCUUUCCUCAGUUCCUACAGGGUCCUCCUAGCUGGCAUGCCCCACCCCUACCCGGAACUCUCCAGCUGGAAGCCUGGACUGCCUUUCCUCCAUCUUCUCUUCUCUGAUUCCUGUAUGACGUCAGCCAUUUUGACUACCAGUCCUUUUUUACCUCUUGGCUGCAGCGUGCAGCUCUCGGUUCCCACUCUGCCAUCUCUCUCCCUCUCCCAUUCGGCUCGAUCCAGCCUGCCAGCCAUGUACACUCUAGACUCUCCAGAUGCCCUGCCUAUGUUCCCCCCAUACCAACAAUAAACCUUCUCCACUAUACCGAGAGCGCCAUGCCCUCAUUUUCUUUAUUUCAUUUGCAGACAUUGUUCCCCAGGACAAAUUUAAGCAGCCAUCUGCACCCCUCCCCAUCAGGACCAGGAUAGUUAGUUGUCCCCACUGCUUUCCAGCUCUUCUUUCUGUCUCUUCAGAUUGUCCUACAAGAGGCUUCAGUUAUAGCUCACUCACUCCUGCUCUUUCUUUGAAUCUUGGGACACUAUUUCCUGUACGAAGCCUCAGGAUAAGUCUCGUUCUCCACUUAACCACCCACCUCUGCAUUCAUGCUUGAUCUCCUCUGCUGUUCUCCUGUAAGGACUGGGAGCAUCCGUUAACCCUGAGUAACGGGAUGGGGAGGCACUGCUCUGGCAUUAUGCAGUAGUCACUUAAAGAAAAUUAUGUAAAUCAAGCUGUGGUGGCACAGACCAAUAAUCUCAGCUUUCAGGAGGCUGAGGCAGGAGGAUUGCCAUGAUCAUGAGGCCAGCCUUGGCUGGAACGGAUAUCUUGUUUUCUAGGGCCAGCAAGACACUGUCUAAAGAAAACAAAAAGAGCUGCAGGUAAGAGCACUUGCCACCAAGCCUGGGGACCAAAUCCCUAGGUGCCACAUAGAAGGAGAGAAUCAACUUCCACAAAUUGUCCCCUGACCUCUGUUCUUGUGCUCUAACACACCCAUGCACAUACACAUGAAUUAAAUAAAUAAGUGAAAAAGAUAGUUAUAUGAAUUUUUCAGAGGAUUAAAGGCAAAUAAGAAAUUAGAUGCAACUACUUAAAAAAAAUAGAUUAAAAGCAGUCCUCUAGAUAACUUUUCCCUAAAAUGCUUUGAAUGAGACAGUGAAUUUCAGUGGGGCAGUAGUGGCUCAUGCCUUUGAUCCCAGCACUCAGUAGACAGAGGCAGGUGGAUCUCUGAAUUUGAGGCCAGCCUGGUCUAUAGAGCUAGUUCCAGGACACUCAGGGCUACACAGAGAAACUCUGUCUUGAAAAACAAACAAAGACUGAAUUUUCUUUGUUUGAAUUUCUUGCAAGGAUCUCCUAGAUAGUGAUCUAGAGUCUUCCAGGGAUUUGUUGCCAUUCUCCUGGCUGAUUCAAGGGGCCAUUUCCACCCUUUUCAGCUCGUUUCUAAAUUUUUUCCUCUCCUUAUCCAACUGUCCAUUUGCCAGCAGAAUUGCAACAGGCUUUAGACAUGUGAGUGUAACAGGAAGCAUGGCACAGCUAGGGAGCUAUCAUACAUUCGGCAACAGUUACUGGAACUCCAGGAAAGCAGCCCCCUCCCUCGCCAGUGUCACUACUACAAAAACUGGGGCUCCCUGCUGGCAUCCCUUGCAACACCUUGAGGGUGAUCUCAGCUCAAGCUUCCCAGAGUCACACUGGACAUCUGAUUCCUCUGUAGCCUCGCCCACCAUGUGCAAUAUCAACCCUGGCAACCCUUAGACUUCUUGGUGAACCUCACACUGUGUCUACCACAUUUUCUAGGUCUAGUCGUCAUUCAUGGCCCAGGUGGAAACAGUACAAGCUUACUCCUCAUAGGUUCCCAUGUGUAUUGAGUAUACUCCUGUGAAACUCAGAGAAUCACCCCCAGUUCUUUCUCAGGUCAGCCAGAAAAAGCUGCCACUGUGACCUCCUGAGAGCUUUGAGCAUACAAAGGAAAAAUGUCACCUGCACUCCUGGGCCAGCCCAGGCAAGACCUUGAAUCAACUUGGAACUUAAGCAGAGAAUUCCUCAUCUCCACUAAGGUGAGCCACAGAUGUCCUUGCAGUUAGGAGAGAGCCAUGACAGACAGCCGGAUGUGACUGUAGAACGGGCCACUUGGACCCAGGGAAAACACAACAGAGCAGGCAUCCUGCAGAAGCUGGCAGUCCUGUACACUGCAGCUUGGAGCAGGUCAGAGCCAUCAUCCAGGCACGCCAGCCAUGACUCCAUGUGAACCUUUUUUAACCACAGCGUUAAACCAAACCACUAAUGGAGUUAUGGAUGAGCACAAAACAGAAAAUUAAAGCCUUAACGUAUCUUCCUUGAGAUCCCUGUAUUAGGCUGGAGAGAUGGCUAAGUGCUUAAGGACACACAUUGCUCUUGCGAAGGACCUGUGUUCAGUUCCCAACACCCACAUCAAGCAGCUUAUAACUGCCUAUAACCCCAGCUCCAAGGGAUCUGACACCCUUUCCCUCUGCAAGCACCUUCUCUCACAGCAGACACAUACAGAUAAAUAAGACUUUUAAUAAUAAAUAAUAACCUGUGUCCGUCUUGUAGGGCCAGCUGGGUUUUAGCCUGUGAUGAUGCAGCCCCCUCUUCCAGCUGUAGUCCUCACAGCAGCAUAAUUCAGGGCGCAUGGGUCCCUAUGGGGUAGGACCCCACCUGGCCUGGUCCUUACGCAUUUUGCCUCGCAUGACAUUGUCAACGUGGGGGAUAUCUUCUUGUGCGGCUGGAGGAGAUAAGUAACUCCUUGGCCUCCGCAUACCCAGCACAGGCCGGCCCCAAAGACAAUUCUGAUCAUGUCGAAAACUCUUGGCUCUGAAGCCGAUGAAUCAUGGCAACUUGAGCUUCCUCUCCUCUGGAUGGACCAAGUGUUUCUCCUCACAGAAUCUGUCAGCCCUGGUGAUGGGACAGUGAAGACUUUCCGAGGGUGAUAAAGCCACUCAGCUUGCUUGUCACACAGAGGGUGGGACCAGCAAAAGAGGUCCACUUCAGCUGCUGUCCCUCAUUUCCAGAUAGAGGAUCACUAGUCAGCGAUGUAAUUUUCUUGCCAAUCAACAGUGUGCAGAAGCACAGCGUGACGCAGUAAAUGUCUAACAGCGAUGCUCAGCUGACCUGGGACGAGAGGUAACCUGGACCAGUUGUAGGUACCACUGGAGCCCAUCCACCGUCCUAUGAAAGGUGAGACUAAUCCCCACCAUCAGUGAGGGAAUGCUGUGCACUAGAGCGCGCCCUCGCGACUUCAAGCUCCAGGACCUCAUGCUAUGGGCCCUCUCCCUAAAUCCACACUCCCUCUCGACCCAGCUCAGUGACCCGAGUGCCAUUAUCCUUUCCUCCAGGAUCUCAGGCGGGGAUCUCUGUCCUGUGGCCAAGGCUGGAGCAGGCUCCGUGCUCUCGGGCGCCACCUAGCUCUAGCCAGGUCGACCGCCUGCUGCUCUCGGACAGGCGGCCCCAACGCCCAGGCGCCCGAGUCGGCUUGGGGUGGGGCAGCCUUGGGUCCCACUGCCAGCGCUGGCAGCCAUCGAGACUGCUCCUGCCUUAAGAUCCCGGCGUCUCUCUUUGGGGUCCCAGAGGCGUGAGGUGUGCAGUGAAGGGCACUGGCGGGAUAGGGGUGAGGCCCAGGUCCCGCUUCAAUUCUUCCACAUCCGCUUGUCCCAGAAACGGGAGGCGCCCUGCCACCGCGCAGGGCCAGCUUCGAAACCAUCCCUGGAAGCAGUCCAGACGCCUGCAGUCUGUUAACCUUGGCAGGUCGCUAGGACCUCUGGGAACUUUUAAGAAGACAAGUAUCUGGAUCCCACCCCAGCUGAUUGACUUGGGGGUAGUAGUGCAGAACGUGUAUUUUUCACUCUCACCUAGUGAGUCCUAAGGCCCUCGGUGUGAAGAGCACCUAACUGUGAGCUGCAGGUCUCUUUUGUAUCAAGCCCGUUUAACUUGGCUUGUACACACCCGAGUCCUUCCAAAGUCUUGGCUCUGCACUAAGGUUACCUAGAAACACAGGCCCUGGGUCUAGCCUGGGACUUUUGCCCUCACCCAGGAGGGGGAGUGGGGUCUCUUUGUUUUGCACUAGACUCUUGCAAAGUAACUACCGACCCCGACCGCUGUUCCCAGCCAGGUUAAGGAGGCACAAGACUAGAAUCUGGAUCCUCGAAUUUCCUGUUCAGAAGGGGUUGCCAGGUCUAGCAAAUAAAAGUGCAGCGUGUUCAGUUAAAUGCUACUCUCAGAUCAACCAUGAGUUAUCUUUUAGUUUAUCUGAAAUAUUGUGCAGGGAAGCCUGUAAACGCAGCGCUCGGGACGUGUGGGAAGAGAGGAGAUAUGUGAGGCCAGCUUGAGCUACUGGAGACCCCCUAUCUCAAAAAAGCAAAGAAAGGAAGGAAGGAAGGAAGGAAGAAAGAAAAGGAAAGGAAACUCAAAUAUGCAGACUAUUAUAGAUCUGGAAUUAAGACAUAAUGAGUGUCCUGUAUUUUAUCAGACACACUAAGCCCAGAGGAUACUCCCAACCCUGCCACAGGGGAUCCUAGCUGCCUAUCAAAGGCAGAUAUGUGCUCAGGCUAAAUACUGAGAGCCAGCAGCUAGCCUGUCACAGGGUACUUGCUGCACAGUUUGAGACUUCCCACCAGCUCCAGCCCUUGCUUCAUGCUCUCUUUUAAAGCGACAGGGUCUUCUUUGAAACUUUCUGGUAGAUACGGAGCCAGGUAAGGCUGCAGUGUCUACAGCAGUGCCAAAUACCGUGGAAGUAGAAUGGCCGUUGGCAACAGUAAAACCCAAAUUCAGAGUUUCCCCCAAACCUGGUCCUCUAGACUGCCAAGCCAGUCUUGCUGGUGAGCUCCAGGCUCAGGGAGAGAUCCACUCUCAAAAACAAAACAAAACAAACAAAACCCACAAGAUGAUAGGCUAGAGAGAUGGCUCAGUAGUUAAGAGCAAUGUCUGCUCCUCCAGAGGACCUGGUUCCAGGUGGUCUGAUGUCCUGCUUCUGAUAUCCAAGGUCACUGCAUGCACAUGGUUCAUGUGAGCAAAGCACCCACGCCAAAAGCAUUAAAAUAAACUUUCUUAAAAGGUGAAACCCGAUGAACCAAGGCAGGGGGCAUUAACCUCUGGCUUCUAUUAGAAUGCACAAUACUCACUUGCACACUCUCACAGGAACACAUCGCGUGGAGUUUUAACAUCUCACAAACAUCUGCAGCUUUCCUGACAACAGCCCUCAAAUCCGCAGCUAACUCUUUAACCUCAGGACCCAGCAAAAUGUAAUAAUGAAAGCAGGGACAAAGCCAGUGAAAUGUCACCUCGUGUGAACAGUUUCUGUUCUCUGCUCUCUGUGGAGAUUGUGAUGGUGAUAUCCUUUAAGCUUAUUAUUCAAUUUCAUCCUUUUUAAACAUAUACAUAUAUAUUUUAUGUGUCUGAGUGUUUUGCCCAGAUAUAUGUUUAUGCACUAUAUUAAUGCCUGGUACCCACAGAGACCAGAAGAGGGUGUCAGAUCCCUUGGAACUGAAGUUGCAAAUGGCCACAAGCUGCCCCAUAGGUGCUGGGAAACAAACCUGCCAGUGCUCUGAAGCAAUGAGCCCCACCCCACCUUUUAAAUUAUAUAUAUAUAUAUAUGCCCUCAGAUUCUCAGUUAUCCUCUACCAUGCCAUUUUUAAUGCAGGUCUUUGUUUGGUUUUAUUUGUUUAUUUUGUUUGUUUUUUGAUAUUUUGUUUCAUUUUGGUUUUUUUGAGAUAGAGAUUCUCUGUGUAGCCUCUACUGCCCUAGAACUCAUUCUGUAGUACUCCCAGAGACUCUCCUGCCUCUGCCUCCCGAGUGCUUGGAUUAAAGGCUUGCACCACCACUGCCAGGGUUGACUGACUGAAAUUUAAGAAUGAUCUUAUGUCGCCCAGGUUGGUCUCAGACUCACUAAACAGCCAAAGUCAUUCUUGACCCCUCUUUCUGCCUCUACCACCUUGAGUGCUCAGAUCAUCAGUGAAUGUUACUGUGCCAGACAGGACCUUUAAAUAUCCACACUAAGACAGAUUAAAGAGCCUGAGAUCAGCAUAAAACACUCGGGUAUUGCCAGACUAGACAGGAAAGCCAUCAUCCCAAGGCCAUGUGGGUGAUUCAAACUGACUCAACCCUGCCCCACGUUCAAGCAUAUGCUCAGUGGGGAUGACAGGAAAGGGAAGGCGGAGGCAGCAUCACUGGGCGUGCACAGGGAGCAGUGCUGGGGAGACCUGCAGUUCCAGGGAGUGGGGACCACAGAGAGCCCAAGGCUUGUGGGCAGAGAAAUCUCGUGUGCUGAGACUGCAAGCCCAAUGUGUACCAUAUUGUCUCUUCACUGCAAAACACAAGUUAGCAGCUGGAAGGUAGCUCGGCUCCGAUGAUAAGUUGCUUGUCAUGCAAGCAGGAGUGAGUGCCUGGAUUUGAUCAAUAGCAAACACAGUUUUUUAAAAAAUAUCAAAAAGGAUUAAGGCAGUGGCAUUACCUAUAAUCGCAGAACUAGGGAGGCAGAGAAAGGAGGGUCCUGGGCUUGCUUCCCGAGUUGUCUAGAAUAACUAGCAAGCUCUGGCUCAAUGAGAAAUCUGUCUUCAAAGAUGAAAUGAGACUAAUGAAGACACCUGCUGCUGACUGCUGGCCUCCAUGUGAACUCACAUACAUGUACAUCUGCACAUGCAUGGAUACAGGAACACAUGAUACAUUUUUUUAACCCCCACAAGGUGAAGAUUAAGAUUUUGAAGCUGGGAACAGCAGAGGUUUGAACUGCCAGCUCAACCUGUGAUGUGCUUACGUCUGCUCAGGUCCAGCACAGUACCCAGGGAUCUCUGCGUUUAAAGAAUGCCCAGGAUUGACUUCAGGGACUCUCGAGACAAUGCUGAAGGCUUCCAAACCUGACUAAUUAGAUUCCAUCUGCUGUUUGUUUAUUCUGUUUUGUUCUUUAGAAAUACUCUACCUGCUAUUUAAUAAAUAUCCCCUCUGUGC
This is a long non-coding RNA of Mus musculus (house mouse), 9958 nucleotides long. RefSeq annotates it as predicted gene, 36359. The transcript has 3 exons. The record is from RefSeq and is a predicted model, not a curated record. Lineage: Eukaryota; Metazoa; Chordata; Mammalia; Rodentia; Muridae.